UCGUAUGAUGGAGGUGCUGGGGUUGUCGCUGACUUUUCAAAGGGUCGUGCACACCUCGGUGCUCUCACACAUAAUCCAUCUCACCCCUUUGUGCAUCACCGCGUGGGGACCCCCUUUUUUUGGCUAGUUCCGAAGGGGGGUUUUCACGUUUUUAUACAAACACCCUUUUAAUGCAAUGUGUAGAAUGUCUUACUUUUUUUGCGGUCAUACGCAAUCAAUA
This 220-nucleotide unclassified non-coding RNA is filed under the name uncultured Russula. RNAcentral describes it as "sequence contains ITS1". The record is from RNAcentral. Lineage: Eukaryota; Fungi; Basidiomycota; Agaricomycetes; Russulales; Russulaceae.